UGUUGGGGUAACGGCCCAACAAGCCAUUAAUCGGUACGGGUUGUGGGAGCAAGAGCCCGGAGAUGGAUUCUGAGACAUGAAUCCAGGCCCUACGGGGCGCAGUAGGCGCGAAAACUUUACAAUGCGAGCAAUCGUGAUAAGGAAACCCUGAGUGCCUGUCAAUGCAGGCUGUUCUGGUGUCUAACACACACCAGGAGAAAGGGCGGGGCAAGACCGGUGCCAGCCGCCGCGGUAAUACCGGCUGCUCGAGUGAUAGCCGCUUUUACUGGGCUUAAAGCGUUCGUAGCUUGGUCGUUAAGUCUCUGGGGAAAUCUUUUGGCUUAACCAAAAGGCGUCUCAGGGAAACUGGCGAUCUUGGAACCGGGAGAGGUAAGACGUACUUCGGGGGUAGGAGUGAAAUCUUGUAAUCCCCGAGGGACGACCGAUGGCGAAGGCAUCUUACCAGAACGGCUUCGACAGUGAGGGACGAAAGCUGGGGGAGCAAACCGGAUUAGAU
This 496-nucleotide ribosomal RNA is filed under the name uncultured microorganism. RNAcentral describes it as "bacterial SSU rRNA". It matches the Rfam family "Archaeal small subunit ribosomal RNA", at positions 234 to 734 of the family's 1478-position model. The record is from RNAcentral.